RNAcentral lists this unclassified non-coding RNA (229 nucleotides) under plant metagenome. RNAcentral describes it as "partial contains small subunit ribosomal RNA, internal transcribed spacer 1, and 5.8S ribosomal RNA". The record is from RNAcentral.
UCUCCGUAGGUGAACCUGCGGAGGGAUCAUUACAGAGUUCAUGCCCUACCGGGUAGAUCUCCCACCCUAUGUUAUUAUUACUUUGUUGCUUUGGCGGGCCGUUAGGCUCCGGCCCGACUUCCGGCCCCGGCUGGUAAGCGCCCGCCAGAGGACCCAAAACCCUGAAUAUUAGUGUCGUCUGAGUACUAUAUAAUAGUUAAAACUUUCAACAACGGAUCUCUUGGUUCUG